RNAcentral lists this long non-coding RNA (227 nucleotides) under Mytilus galloprovincialis (Mediterranean mussel). The record is from RNAcentral. Lineage: Eukaryota; Metazoa; Mollusca; Bivalvia; Mytilida; Mytilidae.
CUGGUCAAAUUGAAGAAAACAGCCGAAAGCAACCGAUGGGUAAUCAACUCAGCGAGAAAACCCCGCACCCAGAGGCGUGCUUAAGGGCAUAUGAUACAGUUACAGGGGAGGUAAUGACGUUGCUAACGUAAAAUGUUAUUUUCGCGACGUCAAACUAUGACAUAUCGGGAAAAGAUGCAUUUUUCGACUAUUUUUUAUCAUUCAAACUGAUUUAAUUUGAAAACGAC